Molecule: long non-coding RNA, 652 nt
Organism: Amphiprion ocellaris (clown anemonefish)
Lineage: Eukaryota; Metazoa; Chordata; Actinopteri; Pomacentridae
Source: Ensembl
CAGAUGAAGUGAAAAGGUUUUUAGGAUCACAUUUCUGAAUUGGACUUAACUGAAAACCAUGAAAUAGCUUAAAAACCAUCUACACCAGAUAAAAGCAGAUCAUCUUGUUACAUUACAUUUUGGACUCUCCAGAAGACAAAAUGGGUGUGGGAUUGGUGAUAGCAGUUUUGCUGGUGCUGACAGCGCCAAGGGAAGAUUUUGUGACAUCAAUGGCACAGGCAACAACCACAGUGGCCCUAAAAACCACAAAUGAUGGAACAAAAGCAGCAGUCAGUCCAACAACAACUAUUUCUAUGACUGAUGAAGGUUGCUCACCAUCUGUGACUCUCAAAGCAACUUUAGAAGAACCAUUUGUUGAAGAAUUCACGAAUAGAACCAGUCCAAGAUUCAAGACUCUCGAGGCAAUAACGAUUCACACUUGCGAUGGCAUCUACAUGGCUCGAUUUGGCUUCCUCUUCAUCCGCACUCUGGUCAUAGGGUUUAGCCCAGCUACAGCCAACUGUAGAACAAGUAAUACUGCAGCAGAGGUGAGGCUUCUUUUCAAUAGCUCUGUGCCAUCUGCACUACUUCCAACUUCUGAUGACGUGGUACGAACCUUGGUGGACGCCAUCCUUGAUCCCAACAGUACCCUCAAUGUCAGCAUUUUCGUCAG